Molecule: long non-coding RNA, 906 nt
Filed under: Lynx pardinus (Iberian lynx)
Lineage: Eukaryota; Metazoa; Chordata; Mammalia; Carnivora; Felidae
Source: RNAcentral
GUGGAACCUGCGUCCCCCCAAAACAUAAUGUCAACACUUUCAAAUUGCUUUCCGAGAUCCCGAAUUUUAGGGGGUGCAUCUUCCAGGGGGGGGGCCUGGGAGCUUACCUGUUUUGUUUACCCGCCCAAGUGCCUAAUGCAGAGUAGUUACCUAAUAAAUAUUUGCCGAGCGGAUGACUGCACAGCCGAAUGAGCCCCGUUCCAUCAUAGGGAUGUAGGAGGAUUUGCGGAGCCAAGCCCCACCUGGGAGGCACCUAAGUCCUUGCCAGUUUUUCUCAAUUAUGGCUCUGCAACGAAUAUCCUCUGUGCAUAAAUCCUUGACUGCAUCUCUUGAUUAUUUCCUCAGGAUAUUUUCCUCGAAGUGGGAUUACUGGGUUGAAGGGUAUGCACAUAUGUAAGGCUCUUGAUUCAGAGUCCCUCCAGCCGCGCCAGAAUGAGUCAGCUUCCCAGCAAGCUGGCCAAAACUCGGUAUCAUCGGCCUUCAUUUUUAUUUCUCUCUGUCUUUUUUCUUUGCCAUCUUGAUAAGAUAAAAAUGAUAUCCCAUUUUAUUUGCAUUUCUUUGUGGACUAAUUAGGUGGAGAUUGGACUAACUUUAAAGAAAUAUUCUUAAGGAGCACCGAGAAAUCCUGUGUGGAAAAGGAGACCGUGACACCAGGCACAUUCUGCCCAGUGAGGUGAAACCAAAGGGCUCCAAUGGUCUGGUGUGAUUUGACCAGAAGAUGUAAACACAUUUGAGCCUUGCUCCAGAGGCUUCCCCUGAGCAAGGGAGGGGAAGCUGUGACUUACUAGCUUCCCUAUGUUUGUUAUUUUUUGUUAUUUUCAUUUCCUGAUGAGGAGUAAAUGUUUCAUAAAGCAAAUGAAAACCCUGUGUAAUUAUCUUUAAGGACAGCAAGAAAAAGUAGAAGUG